AUUGAACGCUGGCGGCAUGCUUUACACAUGCAAGUCGAACGGCAGCGCGGGCUUCGGCCUGGCGGCGAGUGGCGAACGGGUGAGUAAUGCAUCGGAACGUGCCCAGUAGUGGGGGAUAGCCCGGCGAAAGCCGGAUUAAUACCGCAUCCGACCUGAGGGUGAAAGCGGGGGACCGAAAGGCCUCGCGCUAUUGGAGCGGCCGAUGUCGGAUUAGCUAGUUGGUGGGGUAAAGGCUUACCAAGGCGACGAUCCGUAGCUGGUCUGAGAGGACGACCAGCCACACUGGGACUGAGACACGGCCCAGACUCCUACGGGAGGCAGCAGUGGGGAAUUUUGGACAAUGGGGGCAACCCUGAUCCAGCCAUGCCGCGGGCGGGAAGAAGGCCUUCGGGUUGUAAACCGCUUUUGUUCGGGAAGAAAUCCUCUGGGCUAAUACCCCGGGGGGAUGACGGUACCGGAAGAAUAAGCACCGGCUAACUACGUG
This 484-nucleotide ribosomal RNA is filed under the name uncultured bacterium. RNAcentral's name for it is "partial 16S ribosomal RNA". It matches the Rfam family "Bacterial small subunit ribosomal RNA", at positions 28 to 507 of the family's 1533-position model. The record is from RNAcentral.